This 463-nucleotide long non-coding RNA is filed under the name Actinidia chinensis (golden kiwifruit). RNAcentral describes it as "long non-coding RNA (ACHI_LNC007298)". Lineage: Eukaryota; Viridiplantae; Streptophyta; Magnoliopsida; Ericales; Actinidiaceae. The record is from RNAcentral.
AACCGCUAAAAAUCAUGACGGGUCUCACAACUAGAUCCACCAUGAUCAUUGUGACACCUACGAAAGAGGACCAAGUUAGCACCCUAUGCCCGUAACUAGUCGAUGGUACUCCGAAAUCCAGUUAGGUAUGGCCUACAAGACGAUAUACAUAGAGAUAGAAAUUUUAAUGCAUAAUUUCAUACAUUAACCUCUAGAGGUGUGGAUCUUGAUACAAGAGAAAUUUACUUACAACCAAGGCAUCCCAAUCUAGUCGUUCUUAAGCAAGACCAACAAAGUGAAUACAGGCAAUGUUCCUCGUACCUAAAUACGAAGUAACCUAGUUAAAAUUAAUGGGGAAAAAAAAUCCAAUCGGAUGGUCUAUCCAAUAAAGUUCGUUGGUCAAUAUAGCCUAUUUGCACAAAACAAAGCAAGUGGAAAAAAUAAGAUUUAUGUUUCACAAAUACAAAUACACGUAAUUAGAAAU